This 198-nucleotide unclassified non-coding RNA is filed under the name Conocybe graminis. Its description in RNAcentral is "partial internal transcribed spacer 2". Lineage: Eukaryota; Fungi; Basidiomycota; Agaricomycetes; Agaricales; Bolbitiaceae. The record is from RNAcentral.
AAUUCUCAAUCUCUACAAACUUGUGUUGUUAGUAGAUUGGAGGUGGGGGCUUUGUGGGUGUAUUUAAUAUAUCCACUCCUCUAAAAACCAUCAGCUGGAAUGCCUUUGCAAAACCAACUAUCAGUAUGAUAAUUAUCAACACUGAUGUUGUUGUGAAGGGGAUCUGCUUUCAAACCGUCAUUUUGACACUUUGAAUCC